RNAcentral lists this long non-coding RNA (2105 nucleotides) under Bemisia tabaci. Its description in RNAcentral is "lncRNA ENSSSA1NGG005013". Lineage: Eukaryota; Metazoa; Arthropoda; Insecta; Hemiptera; Aleyrodidae. The record is from RNAcentral.
GUAAGGUAUAUUUUAUAUCAAAAAUUUUAUGGAUAGAAACAAAACCAAAUAUUCACUAAUGGCAAUACGAAAAGAUGAAUCAAAAGAAGAGAGUAACUUUCCAUUUAAAAAAUGAGUUACCAUAACAACACCUCCUUUCUCUCUCAAUUUUCUUAUUUCGAUAUUGUCAAUAUAAUUUUAUAUACGGGCUAAAAUAUGACGCUUGGAAAAGUCACUGUUGCCCACUUUACGCGUGGACGUAAACUACUGGACAAAACAGGUACGCAAACAAAAAACCUCGCGUUGACGAAAUGUCCUGAAACGGUUGUGUGGCGCCACAGUCUGACAAACUCGGAUUUUUUGCUGGAACUGUGUUAUGGCGCCCUACGGCUCUAAACAAAACAACAAAGCUGUUUUUCUCCUCUAUUGGAAGGAAAAUUCAGUGUUGCUAAUAUCUCGCCAAUUACAUAAACAAGAACGAAACGCUUUUUUACACUCGUAUACAAUCUCUUCUACUCUUGAAUUACUGUUGGCAGUGAAGUGAAAACAUCUAGGUGUAUACGUCGCAUUCUUUAUCACGAAGCAAUCCAGUGCAAAAUGCUUUUCUACCGCAGUUUAAUGUUUGCUCUUUUUUUGGCUAUUUCAGUAUACCAGGGGAGUGCCCAAUACGCCAAAGCUUGCUGGACGGAUUCCGACUGUGUUGUUUCCUGGUACCACUCUCCUGCACCUCAACGAUGCAUCAACAACCGCUGUGAAUCGGUAAAUAUUUUUGACGGGUGCGAAGACUUCGAGCGUAAAACUGGAAUCAAGGCUCAGCGGGUAUGAAACGCUCUAUCGAAAUGUUGAAGCGGGGACGUUUGAGACAGCUGUAUUCAGGGAGUUGUAACAUGGGAGUUUGAAGGAAAAUUGGUGCUUCGCAGAAAUACGCAAUCUCUGCGCUUUAAUCUAACCUGCCCAUUUAUUUACAAGAAAAAUGCAUUCGACUUAAUUCUCAAAAAUGAAUUUAAGUAUCAUUGUAAGUACCAGUUAUGGAAUCCCUCAUGUACAUUAAAGCUUUUAAAGCACUUAUUUAGCUUUUAUUGUUUUGUCAUCGUUUCCCUCAUGUAAGAAUGUAACUACAGAUCAAAGUUGUCAUAUUUCCUCGCUUAGAUUGUUUUUUUAAGAGGAGAAUUUUGAAAAUUGCGAACUGAAAAAUUCACUGCUUUUUCCUCUGAUCUCGUGCAAAAAGCAGAAAACGUUUCGACGAAUAUCACGUAAGUACAUGCUUGUAAGAAAUUGCAUUGUUUGAGUCAAUUUUGCAACCUUGGAGUGGAGUUACGUUCCUUCGUUCGAGAAACGACGGUGUGUGUUGCAUUUUGAAUACCUACAAUAAGUGGCACAUUUCAAUCACUUUUAAAAAAGUUUGAAUGAGGAACUUUUCUAAGGGAGUUUCCGCACUUACUAGAUGUAAGAAUUUCUGUGUAUUUGAUCCCCAUUAUUUUUUAAUGACUGGAAAACCUUUUGAUUUUGCAAUUCCCUAGCCACGUAUCACGUACUUUACAAUGUUUUAAAAUCUCCGCUCCUUUUUCAUUUUUUUUUUAAAAAGAAGAACAUAUUAACAUCAUUCCUUGAAGUUUUUACAGUAUUUCCUUCGCACAGAGAAGAAAAAUCACGACAGUUUUUAAAAAUUGACAUAUAAUGUAGUUUUUCAAUUUAAAAAAUUAAGUAUGACAGGAAUUCCGUAACGUCGCAAACCAAGAUAAGUGGUUUUUGAGUUUCACCAUUGCGUCGCUCCUCUUUUUAAGUCUCUUAUUUCCCGAUUCCAUCGUAUGUAUCAUGAAUACUAAAAUCAUAUUGGAGUUAAUUUUUUUGAAGCUAACCGAAGUUAACAAAAAUUGAGUAAUGACUGCUUUAUUUUUAGGAGCCUCGUCCGAUGUUUAUUUCCUCGUGAAAAGCUAUUACUUUUGCCUUUCGACCCAACUAAAUAACCUAUUGGCAACUAGGUUCCUACCAUUGGGUGUUAGAUUAAAACGGCAUAUCGACGGUGAAACUAUCAAACCACGUAUCUCGGUUUGCGACGUCGCAGACUUGCUGUCAUACUUUAUUUUUUAAAUGAAAAACUACUUAACGUCCAGUAUUGAAAAUUU